AUUGAACGCUGGCGGAAUGCUUUACACAUGCAAGUCGAACGGUAGAGGGGGCGAACCCCUUCGAGAGUGGCGAACGGGUGAGUAAUAUAUCGGAACGUGCCCAGUCGUGGGGAGUAACGUAGCGAAAGUUACGCUAAUACCGCAUACGAUCUACGGAUGAAAGCGGGGGAGUCGCAAGACCUCGCGCGAUUGGAGCGGCCGAUAUCAGAUUAGGUAGUUGGUGAGGUAAAGGCUCACCAAGCCGACGAUCUGUAGCUGGUCUGAGAGGACGACCAGCCACACUGGGACUGAGACACGGCCCAGACU
This 306-nucleotide ribosomal RNA is filed under the name uncultured bacterium. RNAcentral's name for it is "bacterial SSU rRNA". It matches the Rfam family "Bacterial small subunit ribosomal RNA", at positions 30 to 337 of the family's 1533-position model. The record is from RNAcentral.